Molecule: ribosomal RNA, 497 nt
Filed under: uncultured bacterium
Lineage: Bacteria
Description: partial 16S ribosomal RNA
Rfam family: Bacterial small subunit ribosomal RNA
Source: RNAcentral
GAUGAACGCUGGCGGCGUGCCUAAUACAUGCAAGUCGAGCGAACAGAUGAGGAGCUUGCUCCUCUGACGUUAGCGGCGGACGGGUGAGUAACACGUGGAUAACCUACCUAUAAGACUGGGAUAACUUCGGGAAACCUGAGCUAAUACCGGAUAAUAUAUUGAACCGCAUGGUUCAAUAGUGAAAGACGGUUUUGCUGUCACUUAUAGAUGGAUCCGCGCCGCAUUAGCUAGUUGGUAAGGUAACGGCUUACCAAGGCAACGAUGCGUAGCCGACCUGAGAGGGUGAUCGGCCACACUGGAACUGAGACACGGUCCAGACUCCUACGGGAGGCAGCAGUAGGGAAUCUUCCGCAAUGGGCGAAAGCCUGACGGAGCAACGUCGCGUGAGUGAUGAAGGUCUUCGGAUCGUAAAACUCUGUUAUUAGGGAAGAACAAAUGUGUAAGUAACUAUGCACGUCUUGACGGUACCUAAUCAGAAAGCCACGGCUAACUACGUG